UCAAUGGUUAAAAUUACAUAUAUAGCAACAUCGAUCUAAUUGGCACUUCAUAAGGGUGGUUUAGUUUACUUUGGUAGGAGAGAAAGAAAAGGAGGAAAUGGAGGAAGCAGUUUUUCUUAAGACGGUGAAGAAGAGCAAAGGUGAAAUAAUUGGUUCUUCUUCUGCAACAUACUGUGUUACCGGAGCAACUGGGUACCUUGGUUCAUGGCUUGUGGAGGCUCUUCUUGAAAGAGGGUACACUGUUCAUGCCACUGUUAGAGAUCAUGACAGCAAUGGGAAGUAAUCGUACUUAAUGAAGGGUUGUCUUCACAUCUUCAUUAAGUACGAUUACUUUUAAAGACAGCAAUGGGAAGUGGAAACCUCUUGUUGAUGAAUCUUGCCAAAUCCAAAGUGAACUUGUGUUGAAAACACAAGCAAGUGGGUGGUUUAUGCACUUUCAAAGCUUCUAACAGAAGAGGCAGCAUUUAAGUUUGCAAAAGAGAAUGGCAUUGAUCUUGUGUCAGUCAUAACAACCACUGUUGCUGGCCCAUUCUUCACUGCUAGUGUACCAUCAAGUGUUAAAGUCCUACUGUCACCAAUAACAGAUGAACCUGAGUUCUUCAAGAUAUUAUCUGCUGUAAAUGCACGAAUAGGGUCAAUUGCUUUAGUUCACAUUGAAGAUAUAUACAGUGCGCACAUAUUCCUAAUGGAGCAUUCUAAUGCAGAAGGUCGAUACAUAUGCAGCAGCCAAAGUUGUCCAUUGUCUAUGUUGGCUAAUCUUCUUGCCAAAGAGCAUUCCUACUCAAAUAAGAAAAGGCAACGUUUGAGAAAUUAGCGUAUGCACUGACAGUAUAAAUGAUUUUUACAGUUUUCAUCUAAUUACAACCUGUCAUAUGGUAAGUUUGUUGAGAAUUACCAUGUGCUUCCAAAAAAAGUCAGGUCAAGUAUGAUUUUUGAUUGGCUGACAGAGUAAAACUUUCUACACUCAGUAUAUAGAAAUUAACCUCUAGUUUUUUUCAUUGAUUAUGUUAUUCUUAUAUACACAUGAAGGAUUGCUGAGAAGAAUUCUGAUAAUCCAUCAGAUAAUUAUUUGUUGCCUAGAUUAUGGUUAUUUACCUCCCAUUAGACAAUAGUCUUUCAAUACUAUUGCACACGAUUUUAAACCUUUUGUAUUUUUAUUUUUUAUUUUUGUGAUCACAAAAAUAAAUGAAGUCAUGUUUUAAAAGACCAAGUUCUUUCUUGAAAGAUGAAUAUUUGCAUGGACAAAGUUCUAUAUCAGCAGAAGCACCUAUAUAUAUAAAACUGUAUAUAUAAAUUUUGUUCUAUCUGUAUGCGUUAUUUAAUCUUAACUGUUUUACGAGAAUUUAUAGCCAUCAUUAAUGAUUUAUGGCAGAGGUCUGGUCCCAAAAAUUUCCAGCGUGAUCUGCGGCAUUUACAUCAUUCAGAAGGCGCUGAUGAAUUCCAAAACGUGACCACAUUGUAUAUUUAAAAUUAGAAUCUGAAUAUCUGAGCCUACAAUGGGAACCAACUGGGAAGUCUGCAAUUAUUAUAACAAACAUUUUAUAAGCAAAUUCAAUCCUAAAGAUAGAGCUAAGCUCAACUCCUUGGUAAAAAUUUAUAGGCAAGUGGGAAAACAUGGUAACAAGUUUUAACCCUUGGUCUUUGAGGGGCUAGUUCUUCACUACUUUUAGUUUUAUCAGAAAGCGAAGUCUGAACCAAACAUUUAAGAGGGAAACCACAAAUGGUUCAUAAGUGUCAGAAUUCAGAAAAUUGAUGUCAAGCUUCUCAUGGCUGUGUAGUAGUUGUUGUUGCAGCCUAAUUAUGAGUCUCAUGCCAACUACACCUAGCUCAUUACAUGUCCAAUAUUUCCAAAAUACUUCACUUCAAAGUUUUGAAAUAUCCAAUGAGGAUACCUUCAUUGAAUGAUGUCCAUCCCCAAACAAGAGGGUGGUGUAAUGAGGGUUAGUGCACAUUUAUGAGGUGCAUGUGCCAUGAGAAGUUGAAAGCUGUACAGAUUUUACGGUAAUGAAAUGUCAUUCAAAACCCA
RNA transcript from Glycine soja, 2026 nucleotides. It is a transcript of the gene named dihydroflavonol 4-reductase-like, with no coding region annotated. The transcript is spliced from 4 exons. Lineage: Eukaryota; Viridiplantae; Streptophyta; Magnoliopsida; Fabales; Fabaceae. The record is from RefSeq and is a predicted model, not a curated record.